Non-coding RNA from Pelobates cultripes (western spadefoot toad), 393 nucleotides. NCBI's taxonomy places the organism in Eukaryota, Metazoa, Chordata, Amphibia, Anura, Pelobatidae. The record is from the annotation of a GenBank genome assembly.
GGAAUUUCACUGAAAUGCCGGUCCAGUCGAGGCAUAUACUGAGACAAAGUAGGGACUACUUUGUCUCAGUAUGUUUCCUCUGCGUGACAAAAUGUGGAUCUAUAUUUUGUCAAGCUUGACAUUUCCCACCAGUGGUGGCUGUAGGGGGAAAAAAGCUCUUUAAGAGACCUCAAUGCUGUACUUUUGCACAUGCACCAUGAUCUGAAGAGAAUGGCGGAGCCCACAAGGGACAGGUUUAGGUAAGUAUAACCUACCUUCCCCUGCUUCCCGUGGUCACCCAGUGGCGAUACCACCAUUGGUGACAGAGCCACUUUAACAUUUAAUGGUGAACUGUGACUUUCCGGUAGUUUUUAUUUUCUUUCUUACCACUAUAUAUGUGUUUGUGAGGUGUGA